ACACACACACACACACACACACAAACUCACACACACCACACACCUCCCACUCUUUUCUGUGAUGUCAUAACCUGAGGUCUUCAAUCAAAAUCACUGUAUAAAAAACCCCUUGGUAAUCCACAAUUUACAACAUUCUGGAGACAACCCCGAAGCUUGAAGACCUCAAAAGCUUUGACGUUCCUCGAUUUCAACCGCAAUAUGGACUUUGGAAUUUAAUAGGAAUCACUCAUCUUUCAGCUUAAUUAAUGAUCAGAAUGUUUCAUUGUUGAAACUGUGACAGACUGUGAUGCUGUGACAGACGAAAGUGUGCUAUAUCAUCCAUUUCAAACUUUUCAUCCGGAACCUAGUAACUACGGAUUAACCAUUCACAGUGAGUGAAACUUAAUGAAAUAUGUAAUAUAUGUAAAUAUUUAAUUUAAAAUAUUCUAACUCAUGUGAUUUCUGUUCAUUAGAAAACAGU
Long non-coding RNA from Astyanax mexicanus (Mexican tetra), 460 nucleotides. RefSeq lists it as uncharacterized. The record is from RefSeq and is a predicted model, not a curated record. The transcript has 4 exons. Lineage: Eukaryota; Metazoa; Chordata; Actinopteri; Characiformes; Acestrorhamphidae.